Molecule: ribosomal RNA, 1710 nt
Filed under: Triticum aestivum (bread wheat)
Lineage: Eukaryota; Viridiplantae; Streptophyta; Magnoliopsida; Poales; Poaceae
Description: partial small subunit ribosomal RNA
Source: RNAcentral
AUGGCCGCCGUCGUAGCCGCAGCCGCGGCCGACCAGCCGCGCCGCCGGAAGCCGACGCCGGGGCGCGGGGGCGUGGUGCUGCCCGCGGGGCUCUCCGAGGAGGAGGCGAGGGUGCGGGCCAUCGCGGAGAUCGUGUCGGAGAUGGGCGAGCUCUCGCGCCGCGGGGAGGACGUGGACCUCAACGCGCUCAAGUCGGCCGCGUGCCGCCGCUACGGGCUCGCCCGCGCGCCCAAGCUGGUGGAGAUGAUCGCCGCCGUGCCGGAGGCGGACCGCGCGGCGCUGCUGCCCCGCCUGCGCGCCAAGCCCGUGCGCACGGCGUCGGGCAUCGCGGUGGUCGCCGUGAUGUCCAAGCCGCACCGGUGCCCCCACAUCGCCACCACGGGGAACAUCUGCGUCUACUGCCCGGGAGGCCCCGACUCCGACUUCGAGUACAGCACCCAGUCCUACACUGGAUACGAGCCCACCAGCAUGCGCGCCAUCCGGGCAAGGUACAAUCCAUAUGUGCAAGCCAGAAGCAGGAUAGAUCAGCUCAAAAGGCUCGGACAUAGUGCGGAUAAGGUCGAGUUCAUUUUGAUGGGUGGGACUUUCAUGUCGUUACCGGCUGAUUAUCGUGAUUAUUUCAUCAGAAAUCUCCAUGAUGCUUUAUCGGGACAUACUUCUGCUAAUGUUGAGGAGGCGGUUUGUUAUUCAGAACAUAGUGCUGUCAAAUGUAUCGGUAUGACAAUUGAGACGAGACCUGAUUAUUGCCUGGGGCCUCAUCUGCGGCAAAUGCUAUCUUAUGGAUGUACCCGCUUAGAAAUUGGUGUGCAGAGUACAUAUGAGGAUGUUGCACGUGACACAAACAGAGGCCAUACAGUAGCUGCUGUUGCUGAUUGUUUUUCUUUAGCAAAAGAUGCUGGUUUUAAGGUGGUUGCGCACAUGAUGCCAGAUUUACCUAAUGUUGGAGUUGAGAGGGAUAUGGAAAGUUUCAGAGAAUUUUUUGAAAAUCCAGCAUUCCGAGCAGAUGGUCUAAAGAUCUAUCCAACUCUUGUGAUUCGUGGAACUGGUCUUUAUGAGCUAUGGAAAACUGGAAGGUAUAGAAACUACCCACCAGAGCUGCUAGUGGAUAUUGUAGCAAGGAUUCUGUCGAUGGUACCACCAUGGACACGAGUCUAUCGGGUCCAGAGAGAUAUCCCUAUGCCUCUUGUUACUUCUGGUGUUGAGAAAGGUAACCUGCGUGAGCUUGCUUUGGCUCGAAUGGAAGACCUGGGCUUGAAAUGCAGAGAUGUCAGAACCCGUGAGGCUGGAAUUCAGGAUAUCCAUCACAAGAUCAGGCCUGAUGAAGUUGAGCUUGUCAGGCGUGAUUACGCUGCAAAUGACGGUUGGGAGACCUUUCUCUCGUAUGAGGAUACACGACAGGAUAUCCUUAUUGGCCUGUUGCGCUUGCGUAAAUGUGGCCGCAAUGUUACAGGCCCUGAACUCGUAGGGAGGUGUUCAAUUGUCCGUGAACUUCAUGUCUACGGAACAGCGGUCCCUGUGCAUGGUCGUGAUGCAGAGAAACUGCAACACCAGGGGUAUGGGACGCUCCUGAUGGAAGAAGCAGAGAGAAUUGCUCGUAAGGAGCAUCGAUCAAAGAAACUGGCCGUCAUCUCAGGAGUUGGAACCCGCCACUACUACCGCAAGCUGGGCUAUGAACUUGAGGGGCCUUACAUGGUCAAAUGUCUGGCAUAG